AGCAGCCGCGGUAAUUCCAGCUCCAAUAGCGUAUAUUAAGUUGUUGCAGUUAAAAGCUCGUAGUUGAAUUUCGGGAUCAAUAUGGUCGGUCGUGCCUUCGGUACGUACUGGUAUCAUUGGUUUCUCCUUUCUGACGAACCAUGAUGUCAUUAAUUUGGUGUUAUGGGGAGUUAGGACUGUUACUUUGAAAAAAUUAGAGUGUUUAAAGCAGGCUUUAGCUUGAAUACAUUAGCAUGGAAUAAUGAAAUAGGACGUUCGAACCUAUUUUGUUGGUUUCUAGGAUCAACGUAAUGAUUAAUAGGGAUAGUUGGGGGCAUUAGUAUUCAAUUGUCAGAGGUGAAAUUCUUGGAUUUAUUGAAGACUAACUACUGCGAAAGCAUUUGCCAAGGAUGUUUUCAUUAAUCAAGAACGAAAGUUAGGGGAUCGAAGACGAUCAGAUACCGUCGUAGUCUUAACCAUAAACUAUGCCGACUAGGGAUCGGAUGAUGUUAAUUUUUAAUGACUCAUUCGGCGCCCUACG
Molecule: ribosomal RNA, 520 nt
Filed under: uncultured Glomus
Lineage: Eukaryota; Fungi; Glomeromycota; Glomeromycetes; Glomerales; Glomeraceae
Description: SSU rRNA
Rfam family: Eukaryotic small subunit ribosomal RNA
Source: RNAcentral